Non-coding RNA from Penaeus vannamei (Pacific white shrimp), 1737 nucleotides. NCBI's taxonomy places the organism in Eukaryota, Metazoa, Arthropoda, Malacostraca, Decapoda, Penaeidae. The record is from RefSeq and is a predicted model, not a curated record.
GCCAGACCCCGCCCAUCAGUCGCUCACAAGACACGGACGUAGAAAGACGUAAAAUGUAAGAAGCACUUCGGACGCCACGCAACUCGCACUAACCCACCUCGAUCUCGACCAUCCAGCGGACGAACCACCGCCUCGAGUGGAGAGAUUAGAGAGAGACAAAGACCCCCGCGACCACCCGAACCAUGGCCAAGACGAUCGUCAUCACACUCCCCAAGGGGCUCGGCGACGGAAACAAAAUGGCGGUUCCGGCGCUGCAGACGGCCUCCAUCGCCUCCAGGCAGCUCGACUCCCUCCUCGCCGCCGGGAACUUCGGGAAUCUGGUCCACAUCAUCAAGGACGAGCCGCCGCAGGGAUUCCAGACGCAAGGGUUCCUGGAGGAGGAGGUGGUGGUGGGCGGCGAGGACAAGCCGCCCACGAGGAAGAGGCAGAGACUCGACCACCUCAGCAUGGAGGAAAAAAUCAUGAGGAGAAAAUUAAAGAACCGAGUUGCUGCACAGACAGCGCGUGACAGGAAGAAGCAGAGAAUGGACCAGCUUGAAGCACAGAUUGAUGAACUACGGGACCUGACAUCUGCUUUAUCUGAACAGAACACUUGUCUUGCAGAAGAAAAUGAAGCACUGAAAGAAAUGUUGGCAAAGUGUACGUGUGGACAGGGCAGCACAGAGAGCAACAUCAACGAAGCCAUGAAUAUCGGCUGUAACGACACGCAGAAUGCAGUUGUCGUUGAGGAAGUCACGAUCCCUGUCAACAACCCCGCUGGUGGAUCAGCAGUAUCCCAACCUCAGCAGAAGGCAGUGGGGGUGUUGGCAGUGCUCCGGAUCAUGGUUCUCUCAACACUCUGCUCUCAGUGGGUCAAUACAGCUGCCUUGGCAGUGUUAGCAAACAGAACUCUCGGAACCCUUCCCAGUCUACCAGCCAGCAGCAAGCAAGUCAGCAUUUUACAAACCCUUCCAGUCAAGAAGAGAACUGCGAAGUGGUGGGGACCACACCAACAGUCCUGGAAUCCAACUGGGAUGUAGCAGACCAUGACUAUACCAAAGGAAGUCACACAAAGAACGAAUUGAACCUGAGCCUUACGCCUGCUGAGGAUGACCUUAUUACACAACUGACCAAAGCCAUGGACCAGGUUCCUGAAAUCAGCGUUAAGGACACAUCACCAGAAGGCGUCACCAUUUCAGUGGAUGACGUAGCACCCCAGACAGAUGACAUUGCCACACCAGACAUUCUGAAGGAGCUUCUGGACUUUGGCUGGUUUGAGAGUAAUGCUGAAACACAGGAAGAAAAUCAGGGUGCCAGUCAGCUGAACACUGCACCAGUGAAGGAGGACCUCCAAUCCACAAAUGAGAGGGCAGCAUCACCCAUCACCAAGGAACAGAUACUGGAUUUCCUGCAAGACAAGAUGCUGAGUCCCAGUCAUGGAUCGUCCACAGAGUCCGAGUCUGGUUAUGAUUCCAUCACAUCUCCAAGGUCCUUGGGGUCGCCAGAGACAAUUGAUCUGACGUCUCCAAGGCCUUUGGGGUCACCAGAGCCACUCGAUCAAGCAAUGGAGCUGGACGACUCUUUCAAUGAAUUGUUCCCAUCCCUCUUUUAGCUUGUUCAGUAUUCAAAAGCACCUAGUACCUGUGUUUACUUUAAGAACGUGUACAUUAGUCAGUUGAAUAUUAAGGUUGUAAAUAGUAUUUGUAAGGCUUAGGCUUAAGGUUUGAAGUGUGAUUGCUAUUAAAAGAAAUAUUUUCA